GACGAACGCUGGCGGCGUGCUUAACACAUGCAAGUCGAGCGGUAAGGCCCUUUCGGGGGUACACGAGCGGCGAACGGGUGAGUAACACGUGGGUGACCUGCCCUCAGCUCUGGGAUAAGCCUGGGAAACUGGGUCUAAUACUGGAUAUGACUCCACGGUGCAUGUCGUGGGGUGGAAAGCCUUGUGCGGCUGAGGAUGGGCCCGCGGCCUAUCAGCUUGUUGGUGGGGGAUGGCCUACCAAGGCGACGACGGGUAGCCGGCCUGAGAGGGCGACCGGGCCACACUGGGACUGAGACACGGCCCAGACUCCUACGGGAGGCAGCAGUGGGGAAUCUUGCGCAAUGGGCGAAAGCCUGACGCAGCGACGCCGCGUGAGGCAUGACGGCCU
RNAcentral lists this ribosomal RNA (388 nucleotides) under uncultured bacterium. RNAcentral describes it as "bacterial SSU rRNA". It matches the Rfam family "Bacterial small subunit ribosomal RNA", at positions 28 to 417 of the family's 1533-position model. The record is from RNAcentral.